GUGGGGAAUUUUGGACAAUGGGCGAAAGCCUGAUCCAGCCAUGCCGCGUGCAGGAUGAAGGCCUUCGGGUUGUAAACUGCUUUUGUACGGAACGAAACGGUCCGGGUUAAUACCCUGGGCUAAUGACGGUACCGUAAGAAUAAGCACCGGCUAACUACGUGCCAGCAGCCGCGGUAAUACGUAGGGUGCAAGCGUUAAUCGGAAUUACUGGGCGUAAAGCGUGCGCAGGCGGUUUUGUAAGACAGGCGUGAAAUCCCCGGGCUCAACCUGGGAAUUGCGCUUGUGACUGCAAGGCUGGAGUGCGGCAGAGGGGGAUGGAAUUCCGCGUGUAGCAGUGAAAUGCGUAGAUAUGCGGAGGAACACCGAUGGCGAAGGCAAUCCCCUGGGCCUGCACUGACGCUCAUGCACGAAAGCGUGGGGAGCAAACAGGAUUAGAUACCCCGGUAGUCC
RNAcentral lists this ribosomal RNA (450 nucleotides) under uncultured bacterium. RNAcentral describes it as "partial 16S ribosomal RNA". It matches the Rfam family "Bacterial small subunit ribosomal RNA", at positions 354 to 796 of the family's 1533-position model. The record is from RNAcentral.